Molecule: ribosomal RNA, 1444 nt
Filed under: uncultured bacterium
Lineage: Bacteria
Description: bacterial SSU rRNA
Rfam family: Bacterial small subunit ribosomal RNA
Source: RNAcentral
AGAGUUUGAUCCUGGCUCAGGAUAAACGCUGGCGGCGUGCCUCAAGCAUGCAAGUCGAGCGGGCCCCGCAAGGGGCCAGCGGCAGACGGGUGAGUACAAGUAAGGUUAUCUACCCUGAAAUGGAGGAUAGCUCGCCGAAAGGCGGGGUAAUCCUGCAUGUGCCCUGUAAAUUUGUUCGCAAAUUUACUGGGUAAAGAGCGUAACUGCUCGUUUCAGGAGGAGCCUUAUACCUAUCAGCUUGUUGGUAGGGUAACGGCCUACCAAGGCUAUGACGGGUAGGGGGCGUGAGAGCGUGUUCCCCCACAAUGGCACUGAGAUACGGGCCAUACACCUACGGGUGGCAGCAACUGGGAAUCGUCGACAAUGGACGAAAGUCUGAUCGCGCGACGCCGCGUGAGGGAUGAAGCCUUUCGGGGUGUAAACCUCUUUUGCCAAGACAUCGAGUCUUGGAGAAUAAGCACCUACUAACUACGUGCCAGCAGUCGCGGUAAUACGUAGGGUGCAAGCGUUAUCCGGAUUUAUUGGGCGUAAAGUGUCGCGUAGGCGGCUCUUCGCAUCUUACUUGAAAUGUUCCCGCUUAACGGGAUCACGGGUAAGAGAUGGAGGAGCUUUGAGGGUUGGUGAGGUUUUUGGAACUUCCGGUGUAGCAGUGAAAUGCGUUGAUAUCGGAAGGAACACCAAGAGCGAAGGCAAAAAACCAAUCAACUUCUGACGCUGAGGCACGACAGCUAGGGGAGCGAAGCAGAUUAGAGACCUGCGUAGUCCUAGCCGUAAACGCAUGGGUGCUAGUUGCGCGGCCGCAAGGCUGCGUGACGUAAGCUAACGCGUUAAGCACCCCGCCUGGGGAGUACGAUCGCAAGGUUAAAACUCAAAGGAAUUGGCGGGGACCCGCACAACCGGUGGAGCAUGUGGUUUAAUUCGAGACAAAGCGAAAGACCUCACCACGGUUUGACAUCCCAGCGUCCUAUUUUGUAGAGAUACAGAAAAUUCGCAAGAAGGUUGGGAAAGCUGCUGCAUGGCCGUCGUCAGCUCGUACCGUGAGGUGUUCCCUUAAGUGGGGUAACGAGCGCAACCCUCACCGUUUGUUACAUAUUCAAACGGGACUGUCCCGACGUUUGUCGGGAAGGAAGGAGAGGACGAAGUCAGGUCAGCACGGCGCUUAUGCCGUGGGCCACACACAUCCUACAAUGGCGAAGAACAAUGAGUCGCAAGACGGUGACGUCAAGCAAAUCUCUGAAAUUUCGCCUCAGUUGGGAUUGGAGUCUGCAACUCGACUCCAUGAACGAGGAAUCGGUAGUAAUCGCGGAUCAGCAGGUCGCGGUGAAUACGUUCUCGGGUCUUGCACACACCGCCCGUCAAGCCAACAAAGUCGAGGGUGCCCAAUACCCCGAUUUAAUCGGGGCAAAGGCAAAUUCGGCGAUGGGGACUAAGUCGUAACAAGGUA